This 301-nucleotide ribosomal RNA is filed under the name uncultured bacterium. Its description in RNAcentral is "partial 16S ribosomal RNA". It matches the Rfam family "Bacterial small subunit ribosomal RNA", at positions 509 to 807 of the family's 1533-position model. The record is from RNAcentral.
CAGCAGCCGCGGGAAUACGAAGGGUGCAAGCGUUACUCGGAAUUACUGGGCGUAAAGCGUGCGUAGGUGGUGGUUUAAGUCCGUUGUGAAAGCCCUGGGCUCAACCUGGGAAUUGCAGUGGAUACUGGGUCACUAGAGUGUGGUAGAGGAUAGUGGAAUUUCCGGUGUAGCAGUGAAAUGCGUAGAGAUCGGAAGGAACAUCUGUGGCGAAGGCGACUAUCUGGGCCAACACUGACACUGAGGCACGAAAGCGUGGUGAGCAAACAGGAUUAGAUACCCCCGUAGUCCCUGUCUCUUAUAC